AUUGAACGCUGGCGGAAUGCUUUACACAUGCAAGUCGAGCGGCAGCACGGGGGCAACCCUGGUGGCGAGCGGCGAACGGGUGAGUAAUACAUCGGAACAUGCCCAGUCGUGGGGGAUAACACUUCGAAAGAAGUGCUAAUACCGCAUACGUCCUGAGGGGGAAAGCGGGGGAUCGCAAGACCUCGCGCGAUUGGAGUGGCCGAUGUCAGAUUAGCUAGUUGGUGGGGUAAAGGCCUACCAAGGCAACGAUCUGUAGCUGGUCUGAGAGGAUGAUCAGCCACACUGGGACUGAGACACGGCCCAGACUCCUACGGGAGGCAGCAGUGGGGAAUUUUGGAUAAUGGGGGCAACCCUGAUCCAGCCAUUCCGCGUGAGUGAAGAAGGCCUUCGGGUUGUAAAGCUCUUUCGGCAGGAACGAAACGGUGAGCUCUAACAUAGCUUGCUAAUGACGGUACCUGAAGAAGAAGCACCGGCUAACUACGUG
Molecule: ribosomal RNA, 484 nt
Filed under: uncultured bacterium
Lineage: Bacteria
Description: partial 16S ribosomal RNA
Rfam family: Bacterial small subunit ribosomal RNA
Source: RNAcentral